AAAUCUGGCGUCUUUGGCGUCCGAGUUGUAAUUUGCAGAGGGCGCUUUGGCAUUGGCAGCGGUCCAAGUUCCUUGGAACAGGACGUCACAGAGGGUGAGAAUCCCGUACGUGGUCGCUAGCCUUUACCGUGUAAAGCCCCUUCGACGAGUCGAGUUGUUUGGGAAUGCAGCUCUAAAUGGGAGGUAAAUUUCUUCUAAAGCUAAAUACUGGCCAGAGACCGAUAGCGCACAAGUAGAGUGAUCGAAAGAUGAAAAGCACUUUGGAAAGAGAGUUAAAAAGCACGUGAAAUUGUUGAAAGGGAAGCGCUUGCAGCCAGACUUGCCUGUAGUUGCUCAUCCGGGUUUUUACCCGGUGCACUCUUCUAUAGGCAGGCCAGCAUCAGUUUGGGCGGUUGGAUAAAGGUCUCUGUCACGUACCUCCUCUCGGGGAGAACUUAUAGGGGAGACGUAAUGCAACCAGCCUGGACUGAGGUCCGCGCAUCUGCUAGGAUGCUGGCGUAAUGGCUGUAAGCGGCCCGUCUUGAAACACGGACCAAGGAGUCUAACAUCUAUGCGAGUGUUUGGGUGUCAAGCCCGAGCGCGUAAUGAAAGUGAACGGAGGUGGGAACCUUUCGGGGUGCACCAUCGACCGAUCCUGAUGUCUUCGGAUGGAUUUGAGUAAGAGCAUAGCUGUUGGGACCCGAAAGAUGGUGAACUAUGCUUGAAUAGGGUGAAGCCAGAGGAAACUCUGGUGGAGGCUCGCAGCGGUUCUGACGUGCAAAUCGAUCGUCAAAUUUGGGCAUAGGGGCGAAAGACUAAUCGAACUAUCUAGUAGCUGGUUCCUGCCGAAGUUUCCCUCAGGAUAGCAGUAACGUUUUCAGUUUUAUGAGGUAAAGCGAAUGAUUAGAGGCCUGGGGGUUGAAACAACCUUCACCUAUUCUCAAACUUUAAAUAUGUAAGAAGUCCUUGUUACUUAAUUGAACGUGGACAGUUGAAUGUAUCGUUACUAGUGGGCCAUUUUUGGUAAGCAGAACUGGCGAUGCGGGAUGAACCGAACGCGGGGUUAAGGUGCCAGAAUAUACGCUCAUCAGACACCACAAAAGGUGUUAGUUCAUCUAGACAGCAGGACGGUGGCCAUGGAAGUCGGAAUCCGCUAAGGAGUGUGUAACAACUCACCUGCCGAAUGAACUAGCCCUGAAAAUGGAUGGCGCUUAAGCGUAUUACCCAUACCCCGCCGCUGGGGCAAGAUUUAAGCCCCAGCGAGU
This 1244-nucleotide ribosomal RNA is filed under the name Boeremia exigua. Its description in RNAcentral is "LSU rRNA". It matches the Rfam family "Eukaryotic large subunit ribosomal RNA", at positions 118 to 1382 of the family's 3401-position model. The record is from RNAcentral. Lineage: Eukaryota; Fungi; Ascomycota; Dothideomycetes; Pleosporales; Didymellaceae.